RNAcentral lists this long non-coding RNA (873 nucleotides) under Marmota monax (woodchuck). The record is from RNAcentral. Lineage: Eukaryota; Metazoa; Chordata; Mammalia; Rodentia; Sciuridae.
AACAGCCGCAGGCUGCACUGGAACUAAAGGGGAGGUGACAGCUGGCUGGUGGCUUAUGAUCCACCCAAGGGGAUGCGGAAACCCAGGUGCGUUUCAAGGUUGCCACAAGGGCACAAACGGAAUCGAAGUGGGGAACAGCCUGGGCUUGGCUGUUCCGUGAGAGAGGAGCGACAGGGCAACAUGGCAACGUGUCUUCAGCCAGCCUCAGUUCUGCAAAGCUGCGCUCUCCGGAGCAGGGUUAGGGACAUCAAGAGUCCUUCUGGGACAGCUGGACAAGUCAUAAGACCCAAGUUCCAGUGUCACCUGAAGUGGCUCCCAUUCACUCCUCUGCAUCUUGGUGCCUUCACCUGUGAAAGGGAGAGUGACCCCUGCUCUGCAUGCCCUCGGUGCAGUCUCCAGAUCAAGUAAGAUAUCAAGGGUAGAGAGGAAGCGUCCUGCAGGACGCGAUGGGUGGGGCUGGCGGAAAGGGGGUGGGGCCUGGCAGACAAGGGGCGGGGCCUGGCUGCGCACCCCCUGGCCCUGGAUCAUCACCGGGUCCCUGCUUUCUAGGCGGCUGUGGUCUGUGGGAGUGCGUGCGAACCACCGGGACUGAAUAACACACAGGCCAACCAGACGCAGAGAUGGGGAGGAGGUACCAGCACUGAGGUGGGGGAGCCUUUGUUUAGAUUUGUUUAAGUGUGUUCCCCCAAAGACGCCUGUGUUGGAGGCUGGGUCCCCAGGGUGGCAUAUUGGGAAGUGGUGGACCUUUAAGAGGUGGAGCCUACCGAGAGGUCCUUGGGUCAAUGAGGGGGCAGUCUUUCUCUGGCUUCCUGUUUCAAGAUGUGAUUUCUUCCUCCCUUACAGGCUCCUGCUCCUCCAUGAGGUGAUGCAGCC